AGGGUUUGAUUAUGGCUCAGGACGAACGCUGGCGGCGUGCCUAACACAUGCAAGUCGAACGGAGUCGGCCCCGCAAGGGACUGACUUAGUGGCGAACGGGUGAGUAACGCGUGAGCAACCUGCCUUUCAGUGGGGGACAACAGUUGGAAACGACUGCUAAUACCGCAUGAAGCAUAAUGAUCGCAUGGUCGAUAUGCCAAAGAUUUAUUGCUGAAAGAUGGGCUCGCGUCUGAUUAGAUAGUUGGUGAGGUAACGGCCCACCAAGUCGACGAUCAGUAGCCGGACUGAGAGGUUGAACGGCCACAUUGGGACUGAGAUACGGCCCAG
RNAcentral lists this ribosomal RNA (327 nucleotides) under uncultured bacterium. RNAcentral's name for it is "bacterial SSU rRNA". It matches the Rfam family "Bacterial small subunit ribosomal RNA", at positions 8 to 334 of the family's 1533-position model. The record is from RNAcentral.